GGGGCAAUAGCUCAGUGGUUAGAGCAUUCGAUUGCAGAUCGAACGGUCGGUGGUUCGAGUCCGCCUUGCCCCU
This 73-nucleotide transfer RNA is filed under the name Spraguea lophii 42_110. It matches the Rfam family "tRNA". Rfam says of the family: Transfer RNA (tRNA) molecules are approximately 80 nucleotides in length. Their secondary structure includes four short double-helical elements and three loops (D, anti-codon, and T loops). Further hydrogen bonds mediate the characteristic L-shaped molecular structure. tRNAs have two regions of fundamental functional importance: the anti-codon, which is responsible for specific mRNA codon recognition, and the 3' end, to which the tRNAs corresponding amino acid is attached (by aminoacyl-tRNA synthetases). tRNAs cope with the degeneracy of the genetic code in two manners: having more than one tRNA (with a specific anti-codon) for a particular amino acid; and 'wobble' base-pairing, i.e. permitting non-standard base-pairing at the 3rd anti-codon position. The record is from Rfam by way of RNAcentral. Lineage: Eukaryota; Fungi; Microsporidia; Spragueidae.